GAUGAACGCUGGCGGCGUGCCUAAUACAUGCAAGUCGAGCGAACAGACGAGGAGCUUGCUCCUCUGACGUUAGCGGCGGACGGGUGAGUAACACGUGGAUAACCUACCUAUAAGACUGGGAUAACUUCGGGAAACCGGAGCUAAUACCGGAUAAUAUAUUGAACCGCAUGGUUCAAUAGUGAAAGACGGUUUUGCUGUCACUUAUAGAUGGAUCCGCGCCGCAUUAGCUAGUUGGUAAGGUAACGGCUUACCAAGGCAACGAUGCGUAGCCGACCUGAGAGGGUGAUCGGCCACACUGGAACUGAGACACGGUCCAGACUCCGACGGGAGGCAGCAGUAGGGAAUCUUCCGCAAUGGGCGAAAGCCUGACGGAGCAACGCCGCGGGAGUGAUGAAGGUCUUCGGAUCGUAAAACGCUGUUAUUAGGGAAGAACAAAUGUGUAAGUAACGAUGCACGUCUUGACGGUACCGAAUCAGAAAGCCACGGCUAACUACGU
This 496-nucleotide ribosomal RNA is filed under the name uncultured bacterium. RNAcentral describes it as "partial 16S ribosomal RNA". It matches the Rfam family "Bacterial small subunit ribosomal RNA", at positions 28 to 506 of the family's 1533-position model. The record is from RNAcentral.